Meleagris gallopavo (turkey) is the source of this 239-nucleotide non-coding RNA. The record is from RefSeq and is a predicted model, not a curated record. NCBI's taxonomy places the organism in Eukaryota, Metazoa, Chordata, Aves, Galliformes, Phasianidae.
CUGAGACACUGCUGAAUGUAGAAACUCUAUGCUCCUACAGAUUCUACGUCUUUUUCAACAGUUUCAUCAGGAAAUUGCACCUACACAGCAACUGCAUGGCAUCAACAUCUGUGAUCCCAAAGGCAGAAUCAAGAUGGCACAAAGGAAAGCGUGGGCACCGCCGCCCCAGCCCGGCCGCCCGUAACCGCGGUACCUCAGGAGAGACCGCCAACCCCGCAGCCAGAAGGACCACGCCGCCA